Molecule: transfer RNA, 70 nt
Filed under: Podarcis lilfordi (Lilford's wall lizard)
Lineage: Eukaryota; Metazoa; Chordata; Lepidosauria; Squamata; Lacertidae
Description: tRNA.Ile
Source: RNAcentral
GGAUAGCUCAGCUGGUUAGAGCGUGGUGCUGAUGAUACCAAGGUCGCAGGUUUGAUCCCCAUAUGGGACA